AACGAACGCUGGCGGCAUGCCUAACACAUGCAAGUCGAACGAGACCUUCGGGUCUAGUGGCGCACGGGUGCGUAACGCGUGGGAAUCUGCCCUUGGGUUCGGAAUAACAGUUAGAAAUGACUGCUAAUACCGGAUAAAUGUCUUCGGACCAAAGAUUUAUCGCCCAGGGAUGAGCCCGCGUAGGAUUAGCUAGUUGGUGAGGUAAAGGCUCACCAAGGCGACGAUCCUUAGCUGGUCUGAGAGGAUGAUCAGCCACACUGGGGACUGAGACACGGCCCCAGACUCCCUACGGGAGGCAGCAGUGGGGGAAAUAUUGGACAAUGGGCG
Molecule: ribosomal RNA, 327 nt
Filed under: uncultured bacterium
Lineage: Bacteria
Description: bacterial SSU rRNA
Rfam family: Bacterial small subunit ribosomal RNA
Source: RNAcentral